GGAUGUUUUUAGCAUGAAGGGAAGUAUGGAAAAAUUUUGACUGCCUGAAAUAGUCUUUUACAAAAGGAAACUCCACAUUCUUAUGGCUGAGAUGCGGUGCUAUGUUUCCCAGUAACCGCGUUUACUAUUACAAGCAUCUGUGCCACACCUUUUGUCGAAGUACUUCUUCAAGGAAAAGGAAAAAUGUUUCACAAGUAGUGAGUUAAAAAUAAUCUCCUUCUUCUUAACCCAUUAGCAGUUAGUAUGCUUGGGGGUGGGAUCUUCCCCCAGCUGCUCAGAUCCCAUUACUCAAAGGACCUUCUGCCUGUCUUCUCCUCCCUUACGGAGACAAAUUAAGCUGUCCUUGUUCCUUUUUCAUCCUCGCCUUCUCUUAGCUAUGGUGAGGGAAUUUUACAGUCCAGAAGCCAAAUGAACUGCGGGCAAUAGUAUCACUGCAUCCUCUGGUGUUCGGAGGUGUGUGAAAGACCUGUGACCAAAGGCUUCAUCAUGGACCGGCGUCCUCCUGAAGCAGCAGUGGUUGGCAGCCUCCUGGGAAUGUAGUUCCUAUGCAAAUCUUUGUCAGCGACAUCUAAUCCACUGAAUAAUGUGAUCCCUUCGAAUUCACUGAGCUCAUUGGGGAUUACCUGGAUUCAUAGAGGAAAAGCUUCUCCCAGAAUUUGCACAAGCAAAUCUCUUUCUUCUGAAUGCUAUUCCCUGGAGGUUCAAGGAAUGGGGUCUCUGGCAGAAGAAGAAUUGCUGUGUGAAGUAGAAGUCAUCAUUCCCUUUUGCGUACAAAUGCACUGAGGUGGGGAGGUUAAGUGACUUACUCAGUGUUACAGAGCAACCAACUGGUAGAGGAGAAAAAAGGAGUUCUCUGUGCUUCGGCUCUGCUGCUAUUCCCAUCAAGGAACUGUGAUGUGGCAUCACCAACGCUUUCUGGAAAGAUUUUUGGAGUAGCACAGAGCAGGGCUGGCCACACUGAGGUUGCUGAACUACACUGCUCUUAGGUGCGAGUCAGAUCCGCUCUCAUGCUGGGGUUUAUCAAUGAGGAUGAGGUGCUCCUAAUGCUGGCUGUGAGUGAAAGUGUGCCCAGGGCUCUUGUGAAAAGCCUAAUGAAUUAGAACAGGUAUGGGUAAUUCAGAUUUGCCAUGCAUGCCCUCUAGACAAUGGGGCAUCCCUCCUGUAUCAAUGCACAGUAGCCUCAAACAUCCACUUAGUGGAGGAUUUGCAUGUUUGGCACUUGCUUUUGUGUGUUAGGAACAGUAUAAAGUGAAAAUCACCCCAAGGACAGGCUUUUCUUCGUUCUUUAUGGCAUGUUGCUUGCAGACACCUCUGUGCAGGCAAUCUGUGCUGUCCGUGGGGCUGUCUCCUAAGUCAGGGGCUGCAUCUGAUGGGCAGCACUGCAGGAAAACUCUGUAUUCCCCCCACAUCUACAGUGUUAAGUGCAGGUUGGAAUGGGGUAAUUUUCUGGGCGUUAAACCAUGAUUUUUGGAUGGAAGUGAUGUUUUGUUCAGGGAUAUGAAAUGUGCUGCAUCUUAUGUUGACUUUGGCCUAACUAGAUGUUUGUAAAUAUGCCCAGAAAUAUCUAAUGCAUUUUACUAGCCAGGCACAAGCUGUCAGCCUGCAGCACAUCCGUAGCAGAGCAGUUUCCUCAGCGUUCUUCUAAAUGAGACAAAUGCCCAGAUUUCAACAGUUCACUACCCAGACCAGGAUUUUUUGCUUCAGGUCUCGGCAGAAAUGUGCCCACCUACCCCAUCAGCACAGCCUGGAGCUGCAGCAUCCUUUCUCCAGCCAAGCACUCACCUCCCCCCUCCGUCUGCAGUCUGGAGGAGUCUGGGCAGAGGAGUGUGGCUUUGUCUUCUUCUGGCAAAUGCCGGAUCUUUCUGCCUGCAGUUCUCCCAAGCCAUGGAGUUCUAUCCCAGUCAGGAGGCAGCUCCUGGAGGAACAUCUGGCUCCAGUGUCUAUCUUGUCUGCUGCUCCUUUGCACAUCUAAUUCCUUGCAAAGAGAUUAACGUGGGGAGCGGGAAAACAGCUCCGGGUUCUUUGGGAUGCUUAGAGGGAACCACUCCUCUGCACUGCCAGGCAACACUAGUCCAUCUCCUACAAAAAUACAGCACUUAAAUAAGGGAGAUAAUGAGAUGUGGUUGUGUGGUCUUCUGCCAUGUAUUUCCAAUGCCUCUGGCAUUUUAGGAAGCAUACAUGCAAGAAUACUGCGGGUGGCACAGAGGAGAGGUCCCACGGUGAAUGGGGCUGGCUGUGCAGCUGGCAGGGGGAAACCUCGCAGCGCUUCUGGAGCUGUAUUAAACACUAAGCAGGGAUGCCGGUCUGCCCAGCCUCGCAGACGGAACCCCUAUCUUGCAAUCUGUCCCAGAAGAAGCUGAUGGCAAUCUUCUGAGAGACUCGUAUUGCCUGGUGUGAAUAACAGUGGCCGUGUCCUCUCCAACAAUUUCCAAAUAAGUGCAAGCCAAAUGAGAGGGGAAGAACAAAGGACGCUGCUGUGGGGCAUUAGAUUUGAGGGGGAAAAAAUGUGAUUUUGUGGUCAGUCAAAUAUGGAAUGUGCUGAUGGUUCCUUAAGAUUUUUUUAAUGGAAAAAAUCAUAAGCUGCAAAUAGUUAAAUCGGAGUCUCUAUUUCUCAGCAAACAUCUUAAAUUACACACAAAAAAUCUCUUAAACACCUCAGCUUAAGGGAGGCCCCGGCUAGCUUGAGAUCCUUCGCCUUUUGGGGAUUUCACAGCAGACCACCCACUGGGAAAAUGAGGAGCUGGCAUCGUCGCCACGGUGGCACUUUUGCUGGAGAAGAGUCUCUGAAAUGCUGCACUCUUUUCCUUGGGGAGAUGAAAUGCAAGUGUCUAACGUGGUCUGUGUGAUUUGACAGAGCGGGGAGGCAUAAAUCACCCCCGGCGCUGCUUUCUUUAAGCUAUUAGGUACUCUAUUUACAUGUGUUUGGACCAAAUGUCCUGCUUUGCCCUGCUACUUACAUGUAAUGUAAUCAGCCUACACUUGUGCAAAUAAGUCUGUAAUUUCACGCAGAGACAUGCAGUACGCCGUAAAUGCCUUGUCUCAGAUAAUAAGCAAGUUGUAUUAAUUAUUAUAAACCUGUCCCAGCCUAUUAAAGUCUUUCCUUAAUGAUGCUGUGGCGAGGUGGCUGCUUCCCUGUGAGUCAGCAGCUCCUGCACCUCUCGGAUGGAGCCCUUUGGUGUGCCGGGUGCAGGGCGAUGUCAGGAGGACGGGGCUACAUGCCACUUUGCCCAGAGAGCCUUUCAUGAAGAUGAUGCUCUUAGCUGGAUGAAAGGCCUGCAGCUGGAAGUGCUAAUCUUACCUAUGCCAAUAAAGCAACAUUAACUAAAAGGAACGUGUGCAUUAUGCCCCAUAAGUGCCCUUUGCUAGGUAGAAAUUAUGGAUGUGCUGUCCGUAUACUGAAGUGUUCUUCCCCACCAAGUCGGCUGAGCAUUUCACGAGAACCAACGUGCUUUUAUCUUCACACCACCACGAAGGCAAUUGUUAUUCCAGUUCAGGUAAAAGCAGGUAAAAGUAGCACACAGCAGAGUACACAAGAACCAAGCCCGCACACCAUGUGAGUCAUACAGCGCUUAGAAAUACCACUCCUGAAGCACCACAUACCCUUUAAACAUCUCUCACUGGCCUGACCUUGUUCUGACACCUGAAACGGGCACCAGCUCCAGCACCUUGAGUUUGGCUCUGUGGCUGCACAGCCACACUGGCACCAUUUGGGGUGAGCCUUAGAGCUGCCGUGUUGUAGUACAGGUGGUAGCACCGCUACUACCCUGCAUCCACCAUGUUAACCAAAGGACCACUCAGCCAGAGCAGCACACCCAACACCACGUCCCCAAGAGCUAAGUAGUAUCAAAGCAGCACGAUGUGCAGUGAGCGUCAGAUGCAGUCCUGAAUUCCUCUCCUGGGUGUCAAUAACUGCUUUGUAUGAUUUUAUGCUUUUCACUCACUUGACUGCAGCCCCAAGAUGGGUAUCUCCCAAUGGACAGAGCAGGGUUUUUCUUGGUUCCACUGGGUACAGCUCGCUGGGCUGGGAUCCUCCAGAGAGAAGCGCCCAUGUGUCCCUCUAAUGUGAAAUAUGGCAGUGCUGACCACGUGGUUUUCCUCUUAGGGCCUCUUCUUGGCUAUGCCACACUCCUCAUAAUGGUCUUGGGUUUGUAAUAAUCAAAACAUCCAUGGUGGGCAUUCUGCCCACAUCUCCACACGCUCUAUUUUCAUGUAUAUAUGAACUUAAUUUUGCCGUGAAAUUACUCAGGUGCCGUAAAGAGUAACAAUGAAUAAAAGAUGGCAACUAUUGUCACCAUUACAGAAACUGC
Molecule: long non-coding RNA, 4307 nt
Organism: Gallus gallus (chicken)
Lineage: Eukaryota; Metazoa; Chordata; Aves; Galliformes; Phasianidae
Source: Ensembl